CUCAUUCUGCCUUGCCUGCCACCAUGUAAGAUGUCCCUUGCUCUUCCACCAUGAUUGUGAGGCCUCUCCAGCCAUGUGAAACUGUCUGUGUAGGUUUUUUCUGGCUACUCCUGUUUCCUCCCACAUCCCAAAGGUGUGCCUAUGAGGUGAACUGCCAUGUCUACACAUCCCAGUAUGAGUGAGUGCAGGUGGUGUGCACGCGCCCUGCGAUGGGAGUGUGUCCUAUUCAGGGCUGGUUCCCGCCUUGCGCCCUAAGCUUUGGAGAUAGGCUUCGGCCACCCUCAACCCUGAACUGGAAUAAGCAGAAAACCACAUCUGGUCAGGAGCCCAGUGUGUCCCACUUGGACAAGAAUAGAAAUCUCUCUUCUGGAAUAUGAUCUUCUCUGGUUGGAGCCAAUGGUUUCUUUCAGACCUGAGAUAUCCUGAUGAAGCAGACCACACCUGCCCUCAGAGAUGACCUCAUGAGGAAGCUGAGCUGCAUAACAAACAUCUCUGCUGCUCAGCCACCUCCACUCUUUUUCAACAGACCUUGGAGAUAGCACAGCACCCACACCAAAAAAUCAGGAAGCUCUCUUAUCAGCAAUCUUUCUGUACCUAUGAAAUCAGACAUUCCAGCCAUGGCAGAACCUCCUGAGUGGGCCAGAGCCUCAGAGUCAGGAAAAGCUGGGGCCUAAUGAUGUUUCAAAUCAAAUCACUCUGUAGGGGAUUUUCCAUUUAACAUAUUGUGAUUGUGCAGUAACAUUAGUCUUUGCCAUUUAAUUUAUUAAAUUUUAAAAUCUUAUAAUAUCCUCAA
RNAcentral lists this long non-coding RNA (793 nucleotides) under Homo sapiens (human). Its description in RNAcentral is "long independently transcribed non-coding RNA 2957, transcript variant 1 (LINC02957)". Lineage: Eukaryota; Metazoa; Chordata; Mammalia; Primates; Hominidae. The record is from RNAcentral.